UCUGUAGUGGCCAGCUUCGAUAAUGCACCGGCGGUGGAAUUGUUAUUGUGAUCGACUCCUUGAUAGCCUGCUAUACUGAUGUCCGAAAUAGAAUAUCCAUCUGCAUGCAAUACCCACGAACUCUGCUUCUGCCGAAGAACUGCAACGGCUUUGUCGGACUCCUCAGCUUCUCUUUAACUAUUAUCAGCUUUGGACCACAAUGUCAACCGACCUUGGAAAUAUUUACCAAAGUGUUUGGAUUUCCAGGAGUGCGGCUUAUAGAUCUGCUUUGGUGACGAGUCCUUCGCUGUUGGCGAGAACACUCAAGGCAGAGUGCCUUUUUUGUGUUCUCGGGUGAAUAUAUUCUUGAAUUACUCCCUCGUCUGCUUGCCCCAUAGUCCCGAGAACCCCUAGGAUGAGGUACCUUCUUCGGAUGCUUAGGAAUAUGGGUGCAUUUUGUGUGCUGAAUCUGAACCUGACAGCCUUAGAUGGGCAUCUCCGAAGACAAGUGUCUACAGGGCGGUGUGCCCUCAGUGGAUUCUNN
This 523-nucleotide long non-coding RNA is filed under the name Panax ginseng (ginseng). RNAcentral describes it as "long non-coding RNA (PGIN_LNC005568)". Lineage: Eukaryota; Viridiplantae; Streptophyta; Magnoliopsida; Apiales; Araliaceae. The record is from RNAcentral.